This 465-nucleotide ribosomal RNA is filed under the name Vreelandella stevensii. RNAcentral's name for it is "partial 16S ribosomal RNA". It matches the Rfam family "Bacterial small subunit ribosomal RNA", at positions 338 to 795 of the family's 1533-position model. Lineage: Bacteria; Pseudomonadati; Pseudomonadota; Gammaproteobacteria; Oceanospirillales; Halomonadaceae. The record is from RNAcentral.
CCUACGAGAGGCUGCAGUGGGGAAUAUUGGACAAUGGGGGCAACCCUGAUCCAGCCAUGCCGCGUGUGUGAAGAAGGCCCUCGGGUUGUAAAGCACUUUCAGUGAGGAAGAACGCCUGGUGGUUAAUACCCAUCAGGAAAGACAUCACUCACAGAAGAAGCACCGGCUAACUCCGUGCCAGCAGCCGCGGUAAUACGGAGGGUGCGAGCGUUAAUCGGAAUUACUGGGCGUAAAGCGCGCGUAGGUGGCUUGAUAAGCCGGUUGUGAAAGCCCCGGGCUCAACCUGGGAACGGCAUCCGGAACUGUCAAGCUAGAGUGCAGGAGAGGAAGGUAGAAUUCCCGGUGUAGCGGUGAAAUGCGUAGAGAUCGGGAGGAAUACCAGUGGCGAAGGCGGCCUUCUGGACUGACACUGACACUGAGGUGCGAAAGCGUGGGUAGCAAACAGGAUUAGAUACCCGAGUAGUC